This 491-nucleotide ribosomal RNA is filed under the name uncultured bacterium. RNAcentral describes it as "partial 16S ribosomal RNA". It matches the Rfam family "Bacterial small subunit ribosomal RNA", at positions 29 to 507 of the family's 1533-position model. The record is from RNAcentral.
AGUGAACGCUGGCGGUAGGCCUAACACAUGCAAGUCGAACGGCAGCACAGUAAGAGCUUGCUCUUACGGGUGGCGAGUGGCGGACGGGUGAGGAAUACAUCGGAAUCUACUUUUUCGUGGGGAUAACGUUGGGAAACUUACGCUCAUACCGCAUACGACCUACGGGUGAAAGCAGGGGAUCUUCGGACCUUGCGCGAUUGAAUGAGCCGAUGUCGGAUUAGCUAGUUGGCGGGGUAAAGGCCCACCAAGGCGACGAUCCGUAGCUGGUCUGAGAGGAUGAUCAGCCACACUGGAACUGAGACACGGUCCAGACUCCUACGGGAGGCAGCAGUGGGGAAUAUUGGACAAUGGGCGCAAGCCUGAUCCAGCCAUACCGCGUGGGUGAAGAAGGCCUUCGGGUUGUAAAGCCCUUUUGUUGGGAAAGAAAAGCAGCAGGUUAAUACCCCGCUGUUCUGACGGUACCUAAAGAAUAAGCACCGGCUAACUUCGUG